UAAUAGGCCGUUCCAACAUGCUGUCAAAAUUAAAUCAAUAUGGCUGCUGGAAGUAAAACAUAAAUGUUAUUCUAUAGGUUCUUAAUGUGUUUUAGAUGGUUUUAGAUCAUUUUUGUUGUGUUUCUUUGUAAUUUUGUGUUGUACAAAGAUUAAUUUAACAUUUUCUCUGGAAGUAUUAAUUUAGAAAGAUAAUAUGCUUCAUUGGUGUUGUGUUUUGAAGUGUGAAAUGCAAAGUAAUCCUGAUAAAGUCAAGAUAAAGUUCACUUUUAAACUGAACUAAAUACGGUAUCAGCUGAGAGACAACAAUGGUUAAAUGCAAUACAAUGUAAGGUUUUACUAGCGAAAUGAAAAUUCUCCUGUCCUGUCUGCUGUUGUAAUCAUUUUAUAUCUGGAAAACCAGCCGACUUAAUCGAUAAUAACAAUCCAGAUUGGGUUCCUUCAAUAAAUAUGGGCUAUAAACACAAUGAAAUAAGUUCCCCAAAAUCUAAAAUGAAGUGGUAUCAAAGAGAAUUAAAAGAAAAAAUAUUCAUAUUGAAAUUAUUUAUAAGGCACUGGACUGUCUUAAAUUCUACAAAUACUAGAAUCAGCUGAGAGAAGUGGUGUACAAAAAAACUAGGAAGGGAAUGGAAUAUGUGGCUACGAAAGGCAAAAGAAAUGAAUACAAAGCAAAUGUGACACAUUUUUUUAAAAAUAUGUAGGAAUAUCAGUAAACUACAUUAAAAAUGUAU
This is a long non-coding RNA of Diabrotica virgifera virgifera (western corn rootworm), 728 nucleotides long. RefSeq lists it as uncharacterized. NCBI's taxonomy places the organism in Eukaryota, Metazoa, Arthropoda, Insecta, Coleoptera, Chrysomelidae. The transcript has 3 exons. The record is from RefSeq and is a predicted model, not a curated record.